RNAcentral lists this microRNA precursor (113 nucleotides) under Ipomoea nil (Japanese morning glory). RNAcentral describes it as "mir-395 microRNA precursor family". It matches the Rfam family "mir-395 microRNA precursor family". Rfam says of the family: mir-395 was identified in both Arabidopsis thaliana and Oryza sativa computationally and was later experimentally verified. mir-395 is thought to target mRNAs coding for ATP sulphurylases. The mature sequence is excised from the 3' arm of the hairpin. The record is from Rfam by way of RNAcentral. Lineage: Eukaryota; Viridiplantae; Streptophyta; Magnoliopsida; Solanales; Convolvulaceae.
GUUUUACAUGGAGUUCCCUUGAGCACUUCAAUAUGCAUAUAUAUGCCUUCAACUUAUGAGAAAGGGCAUUAUUGCUAGCUUAGUGAAGUGCUUGGGGGAACUCUAUGGACUAC